CUGAAGGCUCCAUCGCAGCUUCAACAGUUAAGUGUGCACAGAAGAGCAAGGAAAGGAAGGGAAAAAAAAUUCAAAACCGGUGUCACAGGAGCAUUGCAAGAUGAGACUCUAUGCGAGAGUCAGCAAAGCCAUACGGAGGGAAGAUACUUUUCCUGCGGAGUUCUUGAUCUGCUGACCUGGGAACUUCUUCAUGGAUUAGAAAAAAAACACUGACAACAGAACAAAGCUGUGGUCCUCUUGGUGCAGCCAGCUCCACCGUAAGGAAAUGCAGCGCAACACUUGGAUGCCAAAUAACAUGGGAUGAAAUACUAAUUGUGAUAAGACUUUACAAAAAAGGCUAUCUGCCCCCGUGAGAGUCCAAGCCUCCAAGCAAGUCUCUCAUGGAACAAAAAUAUGCAAGUAUUGCUCUGCUCCAGAAGCUGAAGACCUAUAUAUAUAUAUGUAUUUUUAAAGUGGAAGAAUCCUUAGCAAAAAAUAGAAAUAUGGUUCUUACUGAGAGAAAUUAUCCUUUGACAUAUACUUCGUACAACUCAUAAAGUGUCCCCUGCUGACAUUUAAAUUGAUACCAUUCAUUCCCUUUCUUCUUUCCACUUGGAGGAAAUGGGAAUAAAUAAGCAAUCACUUGAGACAUUCUGCCUGACAAUAUAUGUCUAAAAAAUUUGCCAUUUCUAUUGUAGGAAGUGUGUCCAAAGACAGAAAGGGUACGCAAGAAAGACAAAUCACAUCUUUUCAAGCACCCAGUGGACAUGCAAACUUCAUACUUCAUUGGAAUAAGUAAUGAAGCUGCAUCUGCAUUCAGCACACAGAUGUCAGUGGAGACUCCUGUCAAUGGCGAUGGUCUUCCAUCUCUCUCAUAAAUGGGUAUGUCUCCACUUUUCCCAGCCAAGCUAAGUACAGUUCCUCAGACUAGUAUUUGCCAGAUUUCCUCCUUGCAUUUCUUAUCGUCCUGCAGCUACCUUACAGCCACUUCUUACGCACAGUCAGUCAGCUAAAAGUCAGUCCUGCUUCCUGUCUUGGUAAAAGUUGUAUUUUGCCACAUAAUCCUUUGCUUGUGCCAUAAUAGUCUUCAUGCUAAUCAAGUAUUAUAUGUAAAAAAUAAAAAUAAAAUUAAAAAAAAGACACAGAAGUGCUUCAGAUUUCCAAAGCAAUUUUCUCUUGGUUUGGCAGGAACUUAAUAAUUAAAUUUUCACUUGGAUGAAAAGCUACUGAGCAGAAGGGAAGAAUUUUUUUCUGAAAGCUGCUGGAAAAUGGACAACUUUGGUCAAUGUCCUCAUAAAAUGUUAGUAUUCAGAGGACCAUUUGAAAGCUUGGAGCAUUUGAUCUUCCAAAUAACAUUUUUAAAGAAGAUACUUAAGGAAGACAGGAAGUCCCUGUGAAAAUGCUAAAAUUUAACUGAAUAUUUAAUUUUCCAUCAAGGGAAAAAAAAAAAAGUUAAACAUUUUGGUCAUCCUGAAUUAGCCAUCUAGAAUGGGAUGUCAGUAUCUUUUGUUAUAAUUCGGGGUAUCGAGGAAAGUCAGAAAGUAAAGAUAUGCAGCGCUGCACACAUUCUUUCCUACAGCGAGAUGUAAAUAAUGCAGAUGCCCAACAGGAAGACUGAACUGCUGAUUAAUGCUUUAGGACCCAGGACUGCUGGGUUCUGUUUCUCCCCUUUUUCUGGUGUGCCCUUGAGAAAAUUGAUGCCCUUCACUUCUACUUGCAUAGUUACACCAAGCUGCAGGCCUUACUUCAUUUUUAUCUGUGAUAUAAGUUGAGAUUCCUGUUUGGAAAGCACGUUAGAAAAGCAGACUUGUGUUGUCAGCACUGAGAUAUCACGCAGGGGAGCAUUAAACUUGGAUUUGGGACAGGCAGCAGAGGUCUUUUCCUGUGCAGGGAAUAUGGGACUUAUUUCUGAUUAACUUUCCAAACCAUUGGUUCAUGCAGAUGAAAGUUCAAGAAGCACCGCUGGGUAGGUCAAUGUAAUUAUUACACCAAGUGGCACAAACCACUGACCAAAAGAUAUAGAGGGAUGCAGCAUACAGUCCUCAGAUGAUGAUGCCAUUAGAAGGCACUUCAUGGAUAAGGGCUUGUUAGUCCAAACCGAAUCUGCAUGCAGCAGGUCUGUUGCAAAGUGCGGACAAUUUCUUCCACGUGGUGCCAGAAAGGUAAAAUUUUCUUUCCAUUAAAUACUUUGAUCAAUCACCUUACGAACAGGCACCAGCCAACCGUGUUAAUGUGCCAUGGCUCAUUGUGUGUAAAGAAAAUGUCCAUACUUUAGGCCUCAGUGCUUUCGUUCACAAAACACUGUUCACCAGAUGACUGCAGGCUGGAGCCAUGAAUCCAUUUUGCCUUAUUUACAUGAAUUUUCCACAGAGUCCUUCAGGAGGUUUCAUACUCAGCACUUCCCAAAGGAAAUUAUGUGUAUAAAAUUCAUGAGAAACCCUGCUUUCUCUAGAGUAUUAGUAGACAUCUCUCUAUUAUGCAACCCAGGAAUAUUAUAAACCAAUAAAUAAACCUUGAGAUGAAGGAUAUUUGCCUCACUGAAGCAAACAUCCUCAGAUGUGUGGGGAGUAUAUGUGCAGUGCCUUUAAAGGAUAGUCUCAGUUUUCUUUUAUCUCUAAAAUAUCCAUGGUGGUUAAAAUCCGAGCAGUAUUGGCUUUGCCUCUGCAGCAAUCUUAGCAUAAGAAUAUGAUUCUAAUCUGUGAUUGUUCUUGUAAUAUGCCUAUUCCAUUAAGCAAUAUUAAUAAGCCUAAUAAUGUCAUUUCUUGGUAAACCAGAGGAGGAAUUUGAUGCCUUAAUGCAAGUGAAUCUUUCCAGUUUUUGACUCUCAGCUAAUAUGAAAAGCAAACAUAUGCUGAGCUCAUGUUUUCCAACCUACCCAUUUUAAUGUUCAGUGCAGAACACAAACUGCUUAUGAGCUUCACUCAAAUGGAAGGAUAUUCAAAGCUACAUUUUUCUUUUGGGGAAAUCUGUCUUUCAAGAAAUUAUAUUUGGCUUAAUGGCUUGUAUUUUCACAACUGUUUGUACCCCAUAGCUCUGGCAAGGAGCUAACUCAAAGAAGGCUGCUCGUUGUAGCCAAAGCGUGGUGAUUUUCAGCACAACCAUAAGCAUAAAAUUAACUGCAUAUGUCUUUGAGGCCUUAUCAAUGCCUGGGGAUGUCCAGAGACUGAACCUCAUGGACUCAGAUCCAUCUCCCAUAGAGACACAAGUGGCUGCUGUUGCACGCAUUGCACGCCAUUUCUUCAGAGACAGUACUAGGGUACUGCACCAGAAACAUCAUUGACACCGAGGUGAACUUUGUGAGGAGCAACCCCUGAGAUUCAUAGGACAAAAAUGGGCCUUAAGUCCCUACUAGUGCAGUUAGAGCUUUUAAAAACUGCUUAUCAGCGCUUUGAAAAACUACUUAAUCGUCCCGGGAAAGACUUAAUUUUAUGGGAUUUUAAUUUUUAGAAGGCUGAAACAGUUCUGGAUGGAUAAAGAGGACUGGAAAGGGAAAGACAGCCUUACAUCUACAGAAGAAGCUUCCAGGGGACUGAAAGUGGUGUCUGAGGUCUCCCUUGCCACCUUGCUUCCCCUUCCCAGGGUUUUCUUCUAUAUUCCCCUUGCUGCCUUGGGAUAUGGAGUUGCAGCCCUCAGCACACACCUACCAGGAACCACACAGCCUCUCUUCCCUCUUUCCUCUUCCUACCUCCUCCAUCAUCCACACUGCAAAAAGUAUCUGCCUUUUGCCAAGCACCCCACUCAUUCUCCUAUGCUCUCCCAGUCUUUGGGGAAAGGAGGAGGGAUAGGAACAGGCAGCAGGAUGGGAACAGCAGGUGGGAGGGGAACAGAAGGCCGGAUAGGAACAGGUGGGGUGGGAACAGGCAGGAUGGGAACAGGAGAUGGGGUGGUCCCUCUUCCUAAAGACCAAAGGAAUUUGCGGGCCAGUCCAGGAGCCAAAGAAAAUCCUCAGAGACUAGGCUGUUCUGUUCUGGCUGCUGUCGAGGGUGAUGUUGGGUUUAGUCUUAAUUUUAAAGCUGUAUUAGAGACCUCCCACAAUCAUCCCCCCCCCCCUUCUAAACUCUUGGAUAAUAUCCUCACUCAUAAAACCCUGUGCAUUAAUUCUACCCUGAAUCUGCCUAGCUUACCAUGUUUUGUCUACGCAAAAGGAAAGCAUUUUCAAAUUUCAAAUUAUCAGAUUUCUGUUCCAGCUACAGGUACUUUUACAUUGUGACUGUGUUUGUAAAAUCAGCACUUUCACAAGGUGUUUUAUUGCUUUGUGAGCAAGGGGAAGAAGAGAUGCAAAAUGACGUGCCUUCUGGAGGUACCCAUCACUGGUUACAGAGAAAGCCUGAAUGACUUUUUAGUUUAGACUGGGCACUUAAUUUUUAGCUGGUUUAAUGGUGAAAAUUUCCACUUUUUACUAUGAAAAAACUUUGGUUCUUUUGUGAAACCUCUGCAGAAUUAUAAAUUAUCUUCUUGAAUUUCAGAGAUCAAAAAUGUAAACAGUAUCACUCCUGAAAUAAAAACACACAGUUCCUAUUCAAAAGCCUUACAAAUAUGCAGCAAAAUAACAUUAGCUCCUUUGCAAAGCUUUUAUCCUGACAAAAAUCAUCUUUAGUUAUUAUCUAACAUGACUACAAGUUGUUUUCUGUAACCAGCUGUCAGAAAAGAAGCUCUGUUGAGUAAAUAAAGGCUAUA
Molecule: long non-coding RNA, 4656 nt
Organism: Dromaius novaehollandiae (emu)
Lineage: Eukaryota; Metazoa; Chordata; Aves; Casuariiformes; Dromaiidae
Exons: 3
Source: RefSeq, a predicted model, not a curated record